GAAUAACACAACAAUCUGCACUGCCUGAACCACGGAACUCAGCAGCACCAAGGCCUUUGAGGCUGCUGUGAAGCACCCUUUCUGCGAAAGCCAAGCUUCCUUAAAAUGUCAUCAUUCCUCACAAUAACCUUCAAGGCUUACCUGCAGCCUAGCUUUUUCCAUUCCAGGUGAUCCUGAGUUCAACAUGGUAGCUCCAAUUCUGGCUUUUUCUUAAAUCCCACUUCAAGUCUAGCAGACACUGACUGGAGUCACUUUUUCAAAUAUGAUCUUCAAGCUGAGAAAAAUAGAGAAGAGAGCUGGAGAAUAAGAUGAAAACAGGUCCACUGCCAUGCUUCAGAGACAGCAAAGUACCCCCUGGAAAGAUCCAUGUGGAGAAGAACUGAGGUCUUCUGUCAACAACCGGUACCAACUUUCUACUCAUGUGGGUUGCCAUCACCUUGUGAAGAAACUAGCCUCCUGAGGACUAGAGAGAACAUAAAGAGAGAGAGUUGCAGCCAUCCCAGCAUUCUGAGAUGAGAUCCCCCAAUACAUGAAUGAGGCCAUUCUGUACUAGCCAAUCCCCAGCCAACCCAUUUGAUUACUGCAGCCACCUAAGUGACCUCAGGUCAGACCAGCAGAAGAACCACCCGUCUGAGCUCCAAAUUACAGAAUCAUAAGCAAAUAAAUUGUUGUUUUUUAAAGAUA
This is a long non-coding RNA of Leopardus geoffroyi (Geoffroy's cat), 684 nucleotides long. RefSeq lists it as uncharacterized. The transcript has 5 exons. Lineage: Eukaryota; Metazoa; Chordata; Mammalia; Carnivora; Felidae. The record is from RefSeq and is a predicted model, not a curated record.